This 5330-nucleotide long non-coding RNA is filed under the name Homo sapiens (human). RNAcentral describes it as "non-protein coding lnc-TLDC1-2:1". Lineage: Eukaryota; Metazoa; Chordata; Mammalia; Primates; Hominidae. The record is from RNAcentral.
GUGGGUUUCAUAGCUGUGUGUUUUCAUUUGGCUCCUCUUCCUUGGGGAUUGCCUUGUCUCCUAGCAAGAUUCAGGGUGCUGGGGACUGUGGCUGUAUUUCUUCAGCAGUUCAGAGUCUUUGGUUUAUUGGUCAUCAUCACCCACUUGUGGAAAAGACACAUUCAUGUGUCCAGCACAUGUCUUGUCUAUCCCCGGCUCCAUCUUAUGCCUGCGGGAGGGGAGAUUCUAGUCCCCACACCGUGUUGUGAGGGUUUGGGAAGGACCUGAAGCCAGCAGGCAGCCUUCAUUGUGAGAGCUAUGCUCUGAUCCCAAAGCUGACUUUUCCAUGCCAGGUUUCCCCAUUGCCCUAGGAUCUGGUGUCCCUGGUGGAACUUCGUCCCGUGUCUAUGUGCUCUGGAGGCUUAGGUGUAGGAUCCCUGGAUGACUGGUGGGGAAAGGCUGGGGGACCCUGUUGUCCAGCCUUCUUCUUUCACAGAGGUGGAAACCAGGGCCCAGAGCCAUUAAAUACUGCCUUCCGGGCAUUUCAGAGCCCGCUGCUUCUAUUUUUCUAUUCUCAGUCUGUCAGAGAGACCAGUAAGUACCAGAAUUUUGACUUCCCAGAGCCUAGGAGAGUGUAUGGCAUAUGACAGGUGUUUAUUAAUGUGUGUUCGUGGGAAGAACAAAUUGUGUCGCUUUCAUUGUCUUUCAAUACAAUGAAGAUCAGUUCCUCUCCUGGGCCCCACUUCAUAGAAAUAUGCAUUCCUGACUUCACAAAUGGAACUGCCCAAGAAUCCCCACUCAUGUUUUCUCCCCGGAGCUUCCCCUGCACCCACAUUCUCUGCAUUGGUUAGGAAUAUCCUCAUAGGCGCAACACUCCUGAAUAGCAGACCUUACACUUGUACCCCGACAGGCCUCCUUGUUCCCUGAAGCUAACCCUGGGCCUGGCUUUGGGGUUUGCAGCCGGAUUUGUCAUCUUCUGUCUGCCAGUUUCACUGACUUGGUUAUUCCAAGGAAUUCCUGGGACUUCCCUUUGUUAAAAAAUAAACGUUAGGAAUGAGAAGAGGAACUAGCUACUGCCUGUGUCUUCACUCUGAGUGACUGAGGGAACUUCAUUAAAUCUCAGAUUCCCCUAACGAUCCUGAGAAUGAAGGUGAACCCACAGUCCUGUAGAACAUUCUCUCUGACUGUUGAGCACUCCGCUUUGUACCAGGUGUUCUCAUCAAGUGUGCAAGCCCCUUUUAUGCUCAUACGACCCUCCCAACAGCCCUAGGAUGUGAAGCUGCUAUUGUCCGCAUUUGCAGAUGAGGAGACUCAGGCUCAGGGAGGUUGAGUCCCCAGGGAGGCUCAGGCCACUGGAGAUGCCUGUGGACAAGGGUGCCUGUUUGUAUUUGGCCUGGACCUGCUCCCAGCAUGCUGGGGUUUAAACCUGGGCAGUUGGGAGCCAUUAAAAAAUGAAAAGGGGUCAGGUGUGGUGGCUCAUGCCUGUGAUCCCAGCACUUUGGGAGGCCAAGGGGGGGAGAUCACUUGAGGCCAGGAGUUCGAGACCAGUCUGGCCAACAUGAUGAAACCCUGUCUCUAAUAAAAAUACAAAAAUGAGCCGGCCGUGGUGGUACGUGCCUGUAAUCCCAGCUACUUCAGAGGCUGAGGCAGGAGAAUUGCUUGAACCUGGAAGUGGAGGUUGUGCUGAGCUGAGAUUGCACCACUGCACUCCAGUCUGGGCGACAGAGUGAGACUCCGUCUCAAAAAAUGAAAAUAAAUAAAAAUAAAAAUGAAAAGGAUGGGCUGGGCGUGGUGACUCACCCCUGUAAUCCCAGCACUUUGGGAGGCUGGUCUCGAACUCCUGACCUCAGGUGAUCUGCCUGCCUCGGCCUCCAAAGUGCUGGGAUGACGGGCGUGAGCCACCGCACCUGGCCUGAACCAUUUUAAAGUGUACAAUUCAGUGGCUUUCAGAACAUUCACAGUGUUGUGCAAGCCCUACCUCUGUCUGGUUCCAAAACUUUUUCAUCACCCCAAAAGGAGAUGGUGGCUCUUUCAAGACGCCAGCUUUGGCAUCAACUGGACCUUCUGGUUGUCUGACUUCGGACAAGCAUUGUAAUUUCCAGCCUUUGUUUCCUCACCUUUAAAAUGGAAAUAAUGUUGAUCACCUUACGGGCCUUUUUAAAAAGAACUUGAUUGAGGUAUGAUGUAUGUACCUCAAAAUCAAGUCAUCCUAAGUGUACUUUUUCAGUACUUUUUCGUGAAUUUGUGGAGUUGUGCACCCAUUACCACAAUCCCAAUUUUAGAACGUCUCUAUCAUUUCCUGUUCCCAUCUCCAGCUCUGUGUAACCACGAGUCUGCUUUCUGUCUGUAUGGGUUUGCCUUUUUUAGACAUUUAUACCAAUGGCAGCUGACAGUACAUGGUCUUCAUGCCUGGCUUCUUUCACUCAGCAUCCUGUUUCCGAGGUUCAUCCAUGUAGUUGCGUGUGGCAGCGCUUCAUUCCUCUCUGUGGCUGAGGAAUAUUCCAUUGUGUGGACGGACCGUGUUUUGAUAAUCCACUCCUCUGUUGAUGGACAUAGGGGUUGCUUCCACCUUCCAUGAUUCAUAUUUACUACUGUGUGUCAUUCUCAGUACUGUGGCACUGUGCUGGUACACAUAAGUGCUUAAUAAUUGUGGUUAGCCGGGCGUGGUGGCUCACGCCUGUAGUGCCAACACCUUGGGAGGCCAAGCUGGGCGGAUCACUUAAGGCCAGGAGUUUGAGACCAGCCUGGCCAAUGUGGCGAAACCCUGCUUCUACUAAAAAUACAAAAAAUAGCUGGGUGUGGUGGCAGACGCCUGUAGUUCGAGCUACUUGGGAGGCUGAGACAUGAGAAUGGCUUGAACCCUGGGGGCAGAGGUUGCUGUGAGCCAAGAUUGCGCCACUGCACUCCAGCCUGGGCAACAGGCUUUUCUCUCAAGAAAAAGAAAAAUGGUGGUCAUUGUUUAUGUUAUUUCCUUAUGGGCUUUUUUUUUUAAUGUGGAUGAUUUUCUUACCUUUAGACGUGUUAUUUGUGGUUUUGAUAGCUUUUUUUUGUCAAGCUGUCCGUCAUCGUUCUGAAAUUUUGUUUGUUAAAGUCUUAUGAUCCACAUAUGGCAGUAACUGUGUAUCAUCAUGGCUUAAGGGUGUCUGAUAAGCCAGGUCACCUGGUUCCCUCAUUCAUGCCACAAGCGUUUACUGAGUGCAUCAUGGGUGCCUGCGGGUUCUAUGGGUGAAACCUGUGUACUGCAAGAGGAAAGACUGACUGCAUCCAUUUUGCUGAGCCCUGUAGCCCCACAGCCUGGCGUGGUAUUUGUUGAAAGAAGGCAGAGCCUCUACCCUCGUGUAACUCAGUGCGGGUGGAGAGCCCAUGGCAGACCCAGGACUGGAGGCUCCUGCGUCAUUAGGAACAUUGGUGGCUGAAGCUUGCUUGUCCCAGCUGGCGAGAGCCAAUUACGCCUGUCUCCUUCCACCUCCACGUAUGGUGACAUCACUUUGAUAGCUUGACGUCAGCCACUGGGGGACUAUUUACAUCAUGGAUAUGGGCAAAAGACACCAAUCUGAGCUUUUGUCCUUUUCUUUUUUUUGGAGUGCCUGCACACCCGUGAGCCUUUCCAACCUCGUAACCUAUUAUUUUCCUGACGAGAUAGUUUUUUACAGAUGAGAAAGUUGAGGCACAGAGAAUUGAAGGGACUUGGCCAAGGUAACAGCCCAAAUUCAAGCCCCAGCUUCCUCGGGCCAUCCCCACGGACAUGGGAAGACGCAGCAUCAGAUCUGCCCCACUCCCUCCUCCCAGUCAGGUUUUUUCUGCCAGAUGACUCUGCUGUUCAAUUUCCAUUGACUCUGCUGCUGAAUUUCCAUUGACUGACUCUGCUGCUGAAUUUCCAUUUCCAUCUCUCAUCAGGGUUUUCAGUGCUUUGCUUCCCAGUGUGUUGCCUGAGCCACCCUCACAUCCUGUGCCUUCCUUCUUAAUAGGAACGCUGUGUUUUCCUUUGUUCUUGCAGAAUUUCGCUAAGGAGUUUGUGAUCAGUGAUCGGAAGGAGCUGGAGGAAGAUUUCAUCAAGAGCGAGCUGAAGAAGGCGGGGGGAGCCAAUUACGACGCCCAGACGGAGUAACCCCAGCCCCCGCCACACCACCCCUUGCCAAAGUCAUCUGCCUGCUCCCCGGGGGAGAGGACCGCCGGCCUCAGCUACUAGCCCACCAGCCCACCAGGGAGAAAAGAAGCCAUGAGAGGCAGCGCCCGCCACCCUGUGUCCACAGCCCCCACCUUCCCGCUUCCCUUAGAACCCUGCCGUGUCCUAUCUCAUGACGCUCAUGGAACCUCUUUCUUUGAUCUUCUUUUUCUUUUCUCCCCCUCUUUUUUGUUCUAAAGAAAAGUCAUUUUGAUGCAAGGUCCUGCCUGCCAUCAGAUCCGAGGUGCCUCCUGCAGUGACCCCUUUUCCUGGCAUUUCUCUUCCACGCGACGAGGUCUGCCUAGUGAGAUCUGCAUGACCUCACGUUGCUUUCCAGAGCCCGGGCCUAUUUUGCCAUCUCAGUUUUCCUGGACCCUGCUUCCUGUGUACCACUGAGGGGCAGCUGGGCCAGGAGCUGUGCCCGGUGCCUGCAGCCUUCAUAAGCACACACGUCCAUUCCCUACUAAGGCCCAGACCUCCUGGUAUCUGCCCCGGGCUCCCUCAUCCCACCUCCAUCCGGAGUUGCCUAAGAUGCAUGUCCAGCAUAGGCAGGAUUGCUCGGUGGUGAGAAGGUUAGGUCCGGCUCAGACUGAAUAAGAAGAGAUAAAAUUUGCCUUAAAACUUACCUGGCAGUGGCUUUGCUGCACGGUCUGAAACCACCUGUUCCCACCCUCUUGACCGAAAUUUCCUUGUGACACAGAGAAGGGCAAAGGUCUGAGCCCAGAGUUGACGGAGGGAGUAUUUCAGGGUUCACUUCAGGGGCUCCCAAAGCGACAAGAUCGUUAGGGAGAGAGGCCCAGGGUGGGGACUGGGAAUUUAAGGAGAGCUGGGAACGGAUCCCUUAGGUUCAGGAAGCUUCUGUGUAAGCUGCGAGGAUGGCUUGGGCCGAAGGGUUGCUCUGCCCGCCGCGCUAGCUGUGAGCUGAGCAAAGCCCUGGGCUCACAGCACCCCAAAAGCCUGUGGCUUCAGUCCUGCGUCUGCACCACACAUUCAAAAGGAUCGUUUUGUUUUGUUUUUAAAGAAAGGUGAGAUUGGCUUGGUUCUUCAUGAGCACAUUUGAUAUAGCUCUUUUUCUGUUUUUCCUUGCUCAUUUCGUUUUGGGGAAGAAAUCUGUACUGUAUUGGGAUUGUAAAGAACAUCUCUGCACUCAGACAGUUUACAGAAAUAAAUGUUUUUUUUGUUUUUC